GAUCAUGGCUCAGGAUGAACGCUGGCGGCGUGCUUAACACAUGCAAGUCGAACGAAGCACUUAAUGAGAUUUCUUCGGAUUGAUUAUUUUGUGACUGAGUGGCGGACGGGUGAGUAACGCGUGGGUAACCCUGCCCCCAGACCCGGGGGAUAACAGUCGGAAACGACUGCUAAUACCGCAUAAGCGCACAGUGCCGCAUGGGCACGGUGUGAAAAAACUCCGGUGGUCUGGGAUGGACCCGCGUCCGAUUAGUUAGUUGGUGGGGUAACGGCCCACCAAGACUGCGAUCGGUAGCCGACCUGAGAGGGUGACCGGCCACAUUGGGACUGAGACACGGCCCAGACUCCUACGGGAGGCAGCAGUGGGGAAUAUUGCACAAUGGAGGAAACUCUGAUGCAGCGACGCCGCGUGAGCGAAGAAGUAUUUCGGUAUGUAAAGCUCUGUCAGCAGGGAAGAUUAAUGACGGUACCUGACCAAGAAGCCCCGGCUAACUACGUG
RNAcentral lists this ribosomal RNA (498 nucleotides) under uncultured bacterium. Its description in RNAcentral is "bacterial SSU rRNA". It matches the Rfam family "Bacterial small subunit ribosomal RNA", at positions 15 to 507 of the family's 1533-position model. The record is from RNAcentral.